AAGUCGUAACAAGGUUUCCGUAGGUGAACCUGCGGAAGGAUCAUUAGCACUUUUGUGGGAGAAGGGUUUUGUCGUUACGGCAGUCCUGAUCCCCGAUAAACACCUGUGAGCAUAGAUUGAUUUUGUGGAUGGGAGGGUGGAUGAGUGUGUUAUAGGCCUGCGGCCUAGCUGCGACCUAGGACCACUCCAAAGCUCUUUCCCUUUUUACUUUUUUAAAACCCCAACAACCAUAUCUAAAAACUUAUCAAAAGACUAAAACUUGCCUCUUGCCCACAAAGCAAGAGACAACCUUGAUAUUCUAACCAAAGAAACAAUUCUUAGCAACGGAUAUCUUGGUUCCC
Molecule: unclassified non-coding RNA, 341 nt
Filed under: fungal sp.
Lineage: Eukaryota; Fungi
Description: partial internal transcribed spacer region
Rfam family: Eukaryotic small subunit ribosomal RNA (bases 1-46)
Source: RNAcentral